Molecule: small nuclear RNA, 22 nt
Filed under: Arabidopsis thaliana (thale cress)
Lineage: Eukaryota; Viridiplantae; Streptophyta; Magnoliopsida; Brassicales; Brassicaceae
Description: snRNA_02869
Source: RNAcentral
CGAGAGUAGUACUAGGAUGGGU